GAUGAACGCUGGCGGCGUGCCUAAUACAUGCAAGUCGAACGAGGUGCUUUUGUAGCAAUACGAGAGUAUCCUAGUGGCGAACGGGUGAGUAACGCGUUGGUGACCUACCCCAAAGUGUGGGAUAACAGUCCGAAAGGAUUGCUAAUACCGCAUGUGGUCCUCGGAACUAGAAACCGAUGACUAAAGGAGCAAUUCGCUUUGGGAGGGACCUGCGUCCCAUCAGCUAGUUGGUGAGGUAACGGCUCACCAAGGCGACGACGGGUAGGGGACCUGAGAGGGUGACCCCCCACAAUGGAACUGAAACACGGUCCAUACACCUACGGGUGGCAGCAGUAGGGAAUAUUGCACAAUGGGCGAAAGCCUGAUGCAGCAACGCCGCGUGCACGAUGAAGGCCUUCGGGUCGUAAAGUGCUUUUCUGGGAGAUGAGAAAGGACAGUAUCCCAGGAAUAAGUCUCGGCUAACUACGUGC
RNAcentral lists this ribosomal RNA (470 nucleotides) under uncultured bacterium. Its description in RNAcentral is "bacterial SSU rRNA". It matches the Rfam family "Bacterial small subunit ribosomal RNA", at positions 28 to 508 of the family's 1533-position model. The record is from RNAcentral.